GAUGAACGCUGGCGGCGUGCCUAAUACAUGCAAGUCGAGCGAACAGACGAGGAGCUUGCUCCUCUGACGUUAGCGGCGGACGGGUGAGUAACACGUGGAUAACCUACCUAUAAGACUGGGAUAACUUCGGGAAACCGGAGCUAAUACCGGAUAAUAUAUUGAACCGCAGGGUUCAAUAGUGAAAGACGGUUUUGCUGUCACUUAUAGAUGGAUCCGCGCCGCAUUAGCUAGUUGGUAAGGUAACGGCUUACCAAGGCAACGAUGCGUAGGCGAACUGAGAGGGUGAUCGGCCACACUGGAACUGAGACACGGUCCAGACUCCUACGGGAGGCAGCAGUAGGGAAUCUUCCGCAAUGGGCGAAAGCCUGACGGAGCAACGCCGCGUGAGUGAUGACGGUCUUCGGAUCGUAAAACUCUGUUAUUAGGGAAGAACAAAUGUGUCAGUAACUAUGCACGUCUUGACGGUACCUAAUCAGAAAGCCACGGCUAACUACGUG
RNAcentral lists this ribosomal RNA (497 nucleotides) under uncultured bacterium. RNAcentral describes it as "partial 16S ribosomal RNA". It matches the Rfam family "Bacterial small subunit ribosomal RNA", at positions 28 to 507 of the family's 1533-position model. The record is from RNAcentral.